UUACUUUGGCAGAUUAGUGUGUUUGAUUUAGAGUCAUUUUAAGUAUUUAUUACAAGUAAUAU
RNAcentral lists this transfer RNA (62 nucleotides) under Dilophotes sp. U LB-2014. RNAcentral's name for it is "tRNA-Leu". The record is from RNAcentral. Lineage: Eukaryota; Metazoa; Arthropoda; Insecta; Coleoptera; Lycidae. RNAcentral also lists the same sequence under 1 other name.